Molecule: small nuclear RNA, 109 nt
Organism: Acomys russatus (golden spiny mouse)
Lineage: Eukaryota; Metazoa; Chordata; Mammalia; Rodentia; Muridae
Source: RefSeq, a predicted model, not a curated record
GUGCUCGCCUCAAGAAGCACACGUACUACCAUUAAAACAAUACAGAGGGGAGUAGCAUGGUCUCUGAUGCAAGGAUGGUAUGCAGAUUGGUGGUGCAUACUAUAGUUCU